UACGUAGGGGGCAAGCGUUGUCCGGAAUCAUUGGGCGUAAAGAGCGUGUAGGCGGCUCGGUAAGUCCGCUGUGAAAGUCCAGGGCUCAACCCUGGAAUGCCGGUGGAAACUGUCGAGCUAGAGUCCGGAAGAGGCGAGUGGAAUUCCUGGUGUAGCGGUGAAAUGCGCAGAUAUCGGGAAGAACACCCGUGGCGAAGGCGGCUCUCUGGGACGGUACUGACGCUGAGACGCGAAAGCGUGGGGAGCGAACAGG
Molecule: ribosomal RNA, 253 nt
Filed under: uncultured bacterium
Lineage: Bacteria
Description: partial 16S ribosomal RNA
Rfam family: Bacterial small subunit ribosomal RNA
Source: RNAcentral